This 253-nucleotide unclassified non-coding RNA is filed under the name uncultured Anaerolineales bacterium. Its description in RNAcentral is "contains 16S-23S intergenic spacer region". It matches the Rfam family "Bacterial small subunit ribosomal RNA", at positions 524 to 776 of the family's 1533-position model. Lineage: Bacteria; Bacillati; Chloroflexota; Anaerolineae; Anaerolineales. The record is from RNAcentral.
UACGUAGGUGGCAAGCGUUGUCCGGAUUUACUGGGCGUAAGGCGCGUGCAGGCGGUUCGGCAAGUUGGAUGUGAAAGCUCCUGGCUCAACUGGGAGAGGCCGUUCAAUACUGCCGGACUAGAGGACGGUAGAGGGAGGUGGAAUUCCCGGUGUAGUGGUGAAAUGCGUAGAUAUCGGGAGGAACACCAGUGGCGAAGGCGGCUUCCUGGGCCGCUCCUGACGCUCAGACGCGAAAGCUAGGGGAGCAAACGGG